UAACCUGCCCAAGAGAUCGGGAUAACACCUGGAAACAGAUGCUAAUACCGGAUAACAACAGAUGAUGCCUAUCAACUGUUUAAAAGAUGGUUCUGCUAUCACUNUUGGAUGGACCUGCGGUGCAUUAGCUAGUUGGUAGGGUAACGGCCUACCAAGGCGAUGAUGCAUAGCCGAGUUGAGAGACUGAUCGGCCACAUUGGGACUGAGACACGGCCCAAACUCCUACGGGAGGCAGCAGC
Molecule: ribosomal RNA, 239 nt
Filed under: uncultured Lactobacillus sp.
Lineage: Bacteria; Bacillati; Bacillota; Bacilli; Lactobacillales; Lactobacillaceae
Description: partial 16S ribosomal RNA
Rfam family: Bacterial small subunit ribosomal RNA
Source: RNAcentral